GACAGGUACAGUGGCACGUGCUUGUAGUCAGCUACUCAGGAGGCUGAGGCAGGAGGAUCACUUGAGCCCAGGAGUCCUGGGCUGUAGUGCCCUAUGCUGAUAGGGUGUUCACACUGAGUUCACAUUAAUAUGGUGACCUCCCAGGAGUGAGGGAUCACCAGGCUGCCUAAGGAGGGGUUAACCUGCCCAGGUCAGAAGCAGAACAAGUGAAAACUCCCAUAUUGAUCAGUAGUGGGAUCAUGCCUAUGAAUCACCACUGCACUCCAGCCUGGGCAACAUAGCAAGACCCCAUUUCU
Molecule: signal recognition particle RNA, 296 nt
Filed under: Rhinopithecus bieti (black snub-nosed monkey)
Lineage: Eukaryota; Metazoa; Chordata; Mammalia; Primates; Cercopithecidae
Description: Metazoan signal recognition particle RNA (ENSRBIG00000001699.1)
Rfam family: Metazoan signal recognition particle RNA
About the family: The signal recognition particle (SRP) is a universally conserved ribonucleoprotein. It is involved in the co-translational targeting of proteins to membranes.
Source: RNAcentral